This 401-nucleotide unclassified non-coding RNA is filed under the name fungal sp. RNAcentral describes it as "partial internal transcribed spacer region". The stretch from base 1 to 46 matches the Rfam family "Eukaryotic small subunit ribosomal RNA", at positions 1786 to 1831 of the family's 1831-position model. Lineage: Eukaryota; Fungi. The record is from RNAcentral.
AAGUCGUAACAAGGUUUCCGUAGGUGAACCUGCGGAAGGAUCAUUAACACGUAUCCAAACGUUAAACCCCCCUGUGAACCUUCAGUCGUACUCGUACGUCCGUUAGAAAAAGCAGCAAUCCCUGGUAAAUGCAAGGAGCGUGCAUGGUGUGCGUGUAAGUGGCCUGGCAUCCCCAAGCAGUUAGUGUCUGAAAGUGUCACUAACGUUAGUGUCUGAAAGUGUCACUAACAUGUGUAAGGAUGACGCAGUCACGAUCGUUGGAGGCCCACACGGCCGACGACCGGGUCACUGGGUGCAAGCCCCCUUAUCACACCCCUGCUCUAUCUAUGGUGAUCCUGCGGGAAGUCCUGCGGUCGAACGCCGAAACCGAACAACUGUUAACAAUGGAUAUCUUGGUUCUC